AUGAGGAAGGCAGGACGGAUGAAGACACAUGUCUUCGAGUUAGGGAUUGAAGCAAUCAUGUACAACAGACAUGUGGGGUCCAAGAAAAUAAUCAUGCCUGUUAGGUUUUCGACUUGGCUUCAAAGGCUCGAUCUAGAUGUGAGGGAGCUGCAUGAUAGGUUCAGAAAAUCAAACCGUUUGGAUGAGCAAGACAUGGUUAUGAUUCCUGUGCUUGAAAAUUUAGACCCAGAGAACACCAAUGGUGCACACCACUACUGGGUACUCAACAUCAAUCUGAGGGACAAAAGGUCCGAAGUGUUUGACUCAUGGAGGAUGUUAAAAAAAAGCAAGAGGCUGGAUGAUGUUGCAAGGGCUAUUGUAGCUGCAGUUCGUGUGUUGUGGGACAAGUACUAUCCAAAACAAGCAAAGACAAUGGACCAGUUCCCGCUUGUGGAUAUCGAUGCACCAAAGCAGACUGUAUCCGGUGACUGUAACAUAUUCGCAUUGAUGAACGCGUUAUUGUGGAACGGGACGUGGCUCCCGAACUAUGGACAAAGCGACAUACCAAACAUCAGGAAGAAGAUGACCAUCUCCAUGCUGAAGUGUGACCUGAACAAGAUUCCAUGGCAGGAGAUCCUCAAACCGGCCAACAAGUGA
RNAcentral lists this ribosomal RNA (636 nucleotides) under Triticum aestivum (bread wheat). RNAcentral's name for it is "partial small subunit ribosomal RNA". The record is from RNAcentral. Lineage: Eukaryota; Viridiplantae; Streptophyta; Magnoliopsida; Poales; Poaceae.